UAAAGCUUUAAAUAGUUGAGUUAUGAUUGAAAUGGUUCAUGCAGUUUCCAGUUUUCAAAUGUAUCAUGCUAGCAGAAUAUUAGGCCCUUUAAAAAAAGGAACUACUAAUUCACUAAGUACAUAGUGACUCAUAGUUUUAUAUGAUUUAUUACAUUCUGUCAGUAAAUUUUUGGUGGAUUUGAUUUCAUUGCUUUUAAUAUUGUAUGAGGAUAGAUCCUAAUUUCCCCGAUAUGUCCCUUUUACAUGUAUACUACAUAUUGACCCUAUGUGGGCUUAGAAUUUCUAAAUAGUGUAAUGUACAAUUCUGUUUAAGAAUACACUUAUCACUGGAAAAUUACCUUUAUUUUUUUUCUUUUUUUUCUUUUCCAUUUUUUAUUAGGUAUUUAGCUCAUUUACAUUUUCAAUGCUAUACCAAAAGUCCCCCCUAGCCACCCACCCCCACUCUCCUACCCACCCACUCCCCCUUUUUGGCCCUGGCGUUCCCCUGUACUGGGGCAUAUAAAGUUUGCGUGUCCAAUGAAAAUUACCUUUAUUUUUAAAUUCACAUAUAUAUUCAAAUACCUACAUAGUUCCUCUUUGAAGGGGAGUUCCAUUUAAAGAGUAGAUAACCUAUGUUAAAUCAUUUCACCUCUGCCCGUUAGUAGAAAUUACAAGGGACUGUUGUAUUUAUCAUCUAUGCUACUUUUUGCCUUAGAGGUCCUUGGAAAUCAGUGUUAAGGGCCAGUUACUUCCAUGUUUCCACCUAGUAAAGGCGAGUCAAUAAGCUAUGCCAACUUGAUUCAUCUUUUCUGCCCAAUAGGUGCUUAGGAAAUUUGUUAAAAAUGUAAAUUUGUACCUGGGCAACAGAAUUUGUACACUUUAUGACAAAAUUAAUCAGCUACACCUGUGUACUUGUACUAUGGAAGGUUGCUUUAGCUCUAUAGAGAAUAAGAAAUUGGAAUGGGAUUUUUUUUUUUUUAGGAUGACUGGCUACAAGAAGAAAUUGUAGUGACAGAAGCCAUGUGCAAUGAAUUUGAAUUAGUGUUCUUUAGGGAGCUCCGAGAGAAAUACAAUUUACAAGAUAAUCAAGAAUGUAAAUAGAUUCUCUGCGGAGUUAUUGUCUGAUCCCUGACAUAUAUUCAUCUAUACUGAAAUUACUCUAUGACUUCAUUCUAACAAUUAAAGAAUCAGUAGGGGUGAGAUUUACAGCUUCAAGAAGCUGUUAUGUAUCAGUUAGGAAUGUAAAUUUGUAAGCAACUGUUAAGAUGAGUAAAUUGUGUACUUGUUCUGAAACUUUAAAACAAUUCACCUCAAGAGCCAGCACAUGUCUAUAAUCCCCACCCUUGGAGGUGGAGGGAGAAGGCUCAGCAGUUCCAGGCAAACUGGUGCUCUACAACAAACCAUUGUCUCAAGCAAUAGAAAACCUCUUAUCUUGAAAUGGCAGUUAUACAGUAGUGUCUUAUCAAUCAUUUAUGGGGAUAACCUCCUGUCCAUGUCUUAUAAAUACUGGAUUUAAAAAAAAUCUAGAGACUGGAAAGAUGGCUCAGUGGUUAAGAGGUCGUGAGUUCAAUUCUCAGCACCAGUAGCAGAUGACUUACACCUACUUCUCACUCCAGCUCCAAGGGAUCCAAUGUUGUUUUCUGACUUCUACAGUAACCUGCACUCAUGUAUACAUGUAGCCCCUCCUCCAUAAUUAAAGACAAAAUAAUUCUAACAUUAUAAUAUAUUUUCAAAGUAUAUGAAUAAUUUUAACUAUGUGAGCUAGGAAGCUUUGUUGCCCAAUCUCUAACAAAAAUAUAACCUAACAGUUCUGUGACCAUGACUGUAUUUAUUCUAAAGCAUUUGGCAUUAUGGCACAUGCUUAAUGCAGAAAGAUCAUAAGUUCUAGGCCAGCCUGGAUGACACAUUAAAGUUUCAAUGAGCCUAGACUGCAUUACAAAGCUGUAUUUUAAAAACAAAACAAAGCAAAGCAAAACCUAAAGCCAAAACAUCAUUUAAUUAAACUCAUCUCCAUGGGGCUGGAGAGAUGGCUUCUGGGUUAUGGACACUGUCUGUUCUUCUUGAGGAUCUGAGUUCAAUUCUCAACACUCACAUGGUGGCUUACAACCAUUGGUAACUCCAGUUCCAGGAGAUCAAGUGCCCUGUUCUGGCCUCCAUGUGUAUGUAGUAGGCUUGCCCACAUUGCACAGAUACAUAAGCAGGCAAAUACUCAUACAUAUAUAUUAAAAAAUAUUUAUUUUUUUAGUCAUCUCAAAUUUAGCCUCAUAUAUCAAUUUGGCAUCUUGAUAAUUCUCCUGAGCAUUUAUAAAUUGCUUAAGAAAUAAUUUAGACUUGAACAACUUUGCAUUUUAUUUCAUUAUUUGCCAAGAAACCACCUUUGCUUGAGAGGCUAGCCUGGGUUAUAUAGUGAAUUCUAAACCACACAUGACUAUAAAAUGAGACCUUAUAAAAAGACGUUUCUGGAGCCAUGUAUCAUAUCAGAACUUAAGAUGUGUCACGUCAAAUCCUCAUGAUGGUCAACAGUCAGUCAAGUUGCUUAACUAAAGCUAAGAGCUAUAUGUUUAUCAUAUUUUUAUUUAGAGAAUGGAUGCCUGAUUGAGUCAUUGGAGUAGUGCUUCGGGGGAGGAAUUAAUACUGAGAGAACCUUAACUAUCUGAAUAAUCUGUAUGUCCUAGUGUCCUCUGGUUAAGAUGAGAUUAGCUCUUACAUUAAGGCAUCUUCCUUUGCUUUUGCAUUUAUCUAGUGGAAGCUAAUAUAUGAAAUGAAAAAUGAGAAGGACAUAGCUGAACUUUAAAAUUAGAUGAAUAUCUUUGUAGACCAGAAAUGGCAAGAAAAGCUAAACAGAUGGUAGUGAGCAAUAAAUGAGAUAAAUUUGUGGUCUUCCAGCUCCUGAUAUCAUAAAAGUGGUUUAAAAUUAUCUUUAGAAAUACUCAGAGCCAAGAUCACUGUUUGAAAUCAGGACCCCACAAAAAUACGAAUACAUACACAUCCACACUUAGAGCAUGGACAUUUUGACUUCUUUAUCAAGCAACAACUUAAAUGCAAACGUCAGCCUAAUUUAUAGACCAUGGGAGGGUGGUAGGUGGGUCAGCUCCACAGCCUUGAAAGCAGCAUUUGAAACAAUCUGGCAAUUGCCUGGUGGUGAGAUGUAUGGUGGUUCUGCAUCAUUCAGUGGAGAUGCCAAUAGAAGAUAUGGUUGUAGGCUAUCACUUCCAAAAUGGUGAAUGGGAGUGGUCUCAAAGCCACUUGACACAGAGAGAAAGCGAGGCGUUUAGAAGAAGAAAAUAUAAAGGAAAACCCAGGCACAUGUUUUUCAAGCAUGCCUUCACCCAGAGUCC
This 3317-nucleotide long non-coding RNA is filed under the name Mus musculus (house mouse). RNAcentral's name for it is "long non-coding RNA chrX:85167646-85170963". Lineage: Eukaryota; Metazoa; Chordata; Mammalia; Rodentia; Muridae. The record is from RNAcentral.